Molecule: non-coding RNA, 526 nt
Organism: Phascolarctos cinereus (koala)
Lineage: Eukaryota; Metazoa; Chordata; Mammalia; Diprotodontia; Phascolarctidae
Source: RefSeq, a predicted model, not a curated record
CUGGACUGAAAAGAACAGCGUGUGGUCAUUACGGAGCUGAAAGCCAAGAUGGAGAGCAUUUUUCAGCACGAGUCCUUCACAGUUGCCUUGGAUCAUUGGAUUGCUGAGAAGAGCUAAGUCAUCCACAUCUGAUCAUCUUACAAUAUUGCUGUUACUUGGUACACAGCAAAGUACUUUGUACUUUGUUCACUUCCACUGAAGGAAGGAUUGGAAAGCAGACACAGCCAGGUGGCACAGGAGGUGGAGUGAUCUGGAGUCAGAAGAGCCCAAGUGUCCAUCCACACUCAUACCUGUGGGACCUGGCCAAGAUGUCAUCUUUGUCAGCAUCAGUUUUCUUAUCUGGAAAAUGGGGGUGAUAGCAGCACCCCCUCCUAGGGAUGUUGUGAGGACCAAAUGAGUUCAUCUUUGUAAAAAGUGUUUCGUAAACCUGAAACACACAUUCCAAUAAUCAUGAUGGUUUUCCACUCCCUCCUAUCUCACACAAUCCAGAUGCUCAGCCCCUAGAACACAAGAGGAUUGGACAUUA